AUGCAUUUAGUUGCUACAGGUCUGAGGAGACAGCAUACAGCAUGGGGAAGAGCAAAACAAGAGCUGCAGCACUGCAGAAGACAUGGAAAGGCAUUAGACUAGAUGGAGCUGACCCACUUGCAAUCAUGCAUGAAAAGAAUCCAUAAGUACUUUACGAGGGGACAAAGAGUAAUUGUGGUGUCUGGAAGGGAAAUGUGGCACUGAGUUAAAAAUGCAGCUUAAAGAAAUCAAGCAGAGUAAUUUUGCUGUUUCAGGCUUUUCCUUAGGGUUGAAUAGUGAUGGACAGAGUUUGAAUUUAAUGCAGUGUCAGGAACAACAACUGGAAAUGCCAACUACAGAAGAGAGAGAGACAAGUUCUCCCACAUCUUAGAAUGUCCUGUGAUAGCAGAAGAAGUGAUAAAAAACCAAGAGACACAUGAGAAACUAAGCCAGUGGCUUGAAAGGAAGAUGCCAGGAGUGAGUUGACAAAGACUUUCUGCAUACCCUGCUGCUCUGCCUGGAAGGUUGUCAUAUGGGUUAAGAUUUGCAGUAGCUUGAGUUUCCAAAAAAAGCCUGUAGGAAACAUAUGCCCACUACCCACUGAAGCAUGAGAGCACCUAGCAGCAGCUAAAGCCUCCAUGGAGGACUGGGAAGAC
Long non-coding RNA from Pseudopipra pipra, 635 nucleotides. RefSeq lists it as uncharacterized. The record is from RefSeq and is a predicted model, not a curated record. Lineage: Eukaryota; Metazoa; Chordata; Aves; Passeriformes; Pipridae. The transcript has 4 exons.